UACGAAGGGUGCAAGCGUUACUCGGAAUUACUGGGCGUAAAGCGUGCGUAGGUGGUUUGUUAAGUCUGUUGUGAAAGCCCCGGGCUCAACCUGGGAAUGGCAAUGGAUACUGGCAAGCUAGAGCGCGGUAGAGGGUAGUGGAAUUCCCGGUGUAGCGGUGAAAUGCGUAGAGAUCGGGAGGAACACCAGUGGCGAAGGCGGCCGGCUGGGGGUGACCUGACGCUGAGGCGCGAAAGCGUGGGGAGCGAACCGG
RNAcentral lists this ribosomal RNA (253 nucleotides) under uncultured bacterium. RNAcentral's name for it is "partial 16S ribosomal RNA". It matches the Rfam family "Bacterial small subunit ribosomal RNA", at positions 524 to 776 of the family's 1533-position model. The record is from RNAcentral.